CAGAAGCACACACAGACUUGCCUGCCAUCAUAUUUGCUCGGGUAAUGAGCGCGGAGAGUGACACCGCCGCUGCUUUCUUCUCUUUCUUUUCGGUCUCUUGCUGAGCGCCCCUCUCCUGAGCUGGCCUGCGUUGUGGCUUCUUCAGUGUGCCUUCUCUGCUCGCCCACUUUUCCCUUCACCUUUCCUUCGCUCUUGAGGGUCGCCGAGCAUGGCUUCCUUAUCUGCGGCACGCGUAGCACGCUUCACCUCGCGUUGGCUGACGGAGGAGCUCAACAGCUUUGCACGGUCAGGUAACUGGGAAGGCGCCCUGCAGAUGUUUGAGCACAUGCAGCAGUCCAGCCUGGUGCGUCGGAAUGUGUUCCACUACACAACGGUACUGACGGCGUGCACUCGUGCUGGGCAGAUGGACGCCGCCAUGAUGGUCUUUCGCCAGAUGAAGGCAAAUCAAGUGAAGCCGAAUGUGUACACGUACACCACCCUGAUCAACGGCUGCGCAAAUGCCAAGAAGCUCGACUUGGCGCUGCGUAUUUUCGCUGAGAUGCGACUGGCUGAGGUCCCACCUAAUGUGAAGACGAUGACAGCGCUCAUCUCCGUCUGCUCACGAUGCGGGCAGUGGAAGAAGGGUUUACAGGUGCUGGAUCAGUGCGAGGAGUUCUUUAUUGCACCGAAUGCACUCACCUACACGGCAGCCAUGGACGGCUGCCGUCGGGCCGGGGUGUGCACACCGGCGAUAGCGUUGCUGGAAGCAAGAAUGACGGAUCCCAGCCAGGUACGGCCAAAUGAAGUGACUUACAACACCGUUCUUGGCGCCUGUGCGGCUGCCAAGGAUCACAAGGCUGCAUUGCGGGUAUACGCGCGUAUGACGGCAGACGGCUAUGAGCCGAUAGAGUACACACGCGAGUUGCUCAGGGAGGUCUUUCGCGGAACAUCCCUCGACGGCCUUGCUGACAACUUGACGGUGCGCGUAAAGACGUCCAAGUGGGAGGCGUACGUGCCGGACUCGGAUCCGGCCACAGCAUUGCGAGCCGCCCAGGAAGGCGGCUGAGGGAAACAAAUUAGGAUCGCAUCGGUGAAUGUUUCUCUCUCGUAUGUGUGCAUCCGCUUUCACAGAAUGUUUUCUCCUCUCCUCUCCCCCACUCUCCUCCUACGUGGUGCUCAUGAAGGUGUGCUGCGAGCGCAGAUUGCUGCUGUGGUGCGUGGGUGCGUGCUUUUGUGUUGCUGUGUUCGUGCGGUUGCUUGACGGUCUCUUUGCGUCUCGUUCUUGUGUGCGUGUGCGUGCAGAAGCCGGACUUGCUUGCUCUCU
RNAcentral lists this unclassified non-coding RNA (1303 nucleotides) under Leishmania donovani. RNAcentral describes it as "gene:LdHU3.36.6760(CDS-product:PPR_repeat/Pentatr icopeptide_repeat_domain/PPR_repeat_family_putative)". The record is from RNAcentral. Lineage: Eukaryota; Euglenozoa; Kinetoplastea; Trypanosomatida; Trypanosomatidae.